This 466-nucleotide ribosomal RNA is filed under the name uncultured bacterium. Its description in RNAcentral is "partial 16S ribosomal RNA". It matches the Rfam family "Bacterial small subunit ribosomal RNA", at positions 28 to 507 of the family's 1533-position model. The record is from RNAcentral.
GACGAACGCUGGCGGCGUGCUUAACACAUGCAAGUCGAACGGAAAGGCCCUGCUUGCGGGGGACUCGAGUGGCGAACGGGUGAGUAACACGUGGGUGUUCUGCCCUGCACUUCGGGAUAAGCUUGGGAAACUGGGUCUAUUACCGGAUAGGAGCCAUCUUUAGUGUGGUGGUUGGAAAGUUUUUUCGGUGUAGGAUGAGCUCGCGGCCUAUCAGCUUGUUGGUGGGGUGAUGGCCUACCAAGGCGGCGACGGGUAGCCGGCCUGUGAGGGUGUGUGGCCACAUUUGGGCUGAGAUACGGCCCAGACUCCUACGGGGGGCAGCAGUGGGGAAUAUUGCACAAUGGGCGCAAACCUGAUGCAGCGACGCCGCGUGGGGGAUGAAGGCCUUCGGGUUGUAAACUCCUUUCGCGAGGGACGAAGCGUUGUUGUGACGGUACCUGGAUAAGAAGCACCGGCUAACUACGUG